GACGAACGCUGGCGGCGUGCUUAACACAUGCAAGUCGAACGAUGACGACCGAGCUUGCUCGGUCUGAUUAGUGGCGAACGGGUGAGUAACACGUGAGCAACCCGCCCUUCACUCUGGGAUAACCUCGGGAAAUCGGGGCUAAUACCGGAUAUGAGCUCCUGUCGCAUGGCGGGUGUUGGAAAGUUUUUCGGUGAAGGAUGGGCUCGCGGCCUAUCAGUUUGUUGGUGAGGUAGUGGCUCACCAAGGCGAUGACGGGUAGCCGGCCUGAGAGGGCGACCGGCCACACUGGGACUGAGACACGGCCCAGACUCCUACGGGAGGCAGCAGUGGGGAAUAUUGCACAAUGGGCGAAAGCCUGAUGCAGCGACGCCGCGUGAGGGAUGACGGCCUUCGGGUUGUAAACCUCUUUCAGCAGGGAAGAAGCGAAAGUGACGGUACCUGCAGAAGAAGCGCCGGCUAACUACGUG
Molecule: ribosomal RNA, 467 nt
Filed under: uncultured bacterium
Lineage: Bacteria
Description: partial 16S ribosomal RNA
Rfam family: Bacterial small subunit ribosomal RNA
Source: RNAcentral